GAUGAAGAACGUAGCGAAAUGCGAUAAGUAAUGUGAAUUGCAGAAUUCAGUGAAUCAUCGAAUCUUUGAACGCACCUUGCGCCCUUUGGCUAUUCCGAAGGGCAUGCCUGUUUGAGUAUCGUGAACACCUCAACUCUCAUGGUUUGCCAUGAUGAGCUUGGACUUUGGGGGUUUUGCUGGCCUUUGGUCGGCUCCUCUCAAACGGAUCAGCUUUCCAGUGUUUGGUGGCGUCACGGGUGUGAUAACUAUCUACGCUUGUGGUUUUUCCACCAGGUAACCUUCAGCAGUGGAGGUUCGCUGGAGCUCAUAGACGUCUCUCCUCAGUGAGGACAGCCCUUUGAACGUUUGAUCUCAAAUCAGGUAGGACUACCCGCUGAACUUAAGCAUAUCAAUAAGCGGAGGA
Molecule: unclassified non-coding RNA, 403 nt
Filed under: soil metagenome
Description: partial contains 5.8S ribosomal RNA, internal transcribed spacer 2, and large subunit ribosomal RNA
Rfam family: 5.8S ribosomal RNA (bases 1-121)
Source: RNAcentral